Long non-coding RNA from Cyprinus carpio (common carp), 808 nucleotides. NCBI's taxonomy places the organism in Eukaryota, Metazoa, Chordata, Actinopteri, Cypriniformes, Cyprinidae. The record is from Ensembl.
CAAGAAUCCAGUCGGUACAUUGAUGACAUCUCUGUCAAUAGUACUGAGUACAAGCGCCCAGCUUUGGAUACAGCUCUGUCUGUGGGCUCCAGCAUGCUGUGAGAGUCUGUGUAUGUGUGUAUGUUCUGUUCUGUUCAUGCUGUUCUGUUCAUCAGUACAUCAUCUCUUCUCCUCAGAGCAACUGUCAAUGGUGAAAUGGUGUGUGGGUGUCCGACACAGUAAUGGGUCAAUCACUCCGAAAAUAAGACUUUUUCUUCUGACUGAGCACGGAAGAGCUCUGUUCUCACCUAAUGUUGUGAAGCAUACUUAAAGGAGAGAGAGGCCUAACAUGACCUGUCCUGAUCCACAUCCCCAUCUAUUCACAAAGUGGUCCACGAGCCUGCGAUGCAAAGCAAAGCGACAAUGGGAUCAGUCCGCAUUUGCAUUAUGAGCACACAAUGCAUGACACAAGCUUGCCCAGAGAGAUAUUUCUGCUCAGAAAAUAUCUGGCUUCAGAAGGAUGUGUCUGCAGUGCUCAGCAUCACUCCACUGACUAUGUCUCUUGCUUAUUAACAAACCAGCCUGUCACUUUAUAAACCCUGUUUCAGCUUUCCCUCAGCCGCACACACAUACACAUCAUGAAAUACACUUAGACAAUGACAAACACACAAAUUGUCCAGUCAGUUUAAGUGAAACUCUCACCGUGCACAUGUCAUGUUAGUCACACAGAGCAUGUUGAGGUUUUAAUACAGUAAUGCAUACUAGAAAUGUUAUUAAGAAGGUGGGAAUAAUGAUUAAAAAAAAAAUAAAAAAAAUUGGGGGGUUUCCA